This 926-nucleotide long non-coding RNA is filed under the name Homo sapiens (human). Its description in RNAcentral is "PREDICTED lncRNA (TCONS_00242497)". Lineage: Eukaryota; Metazoa; Chordata; Mammalia; Primates; Hominidae. The record is from RNAcentral.
CCCGCCGGUAGCCAUCUUCGUGCAUAGGCAAACUUAUUGUAGCUAGACUGUACAAAGUAUAUCAAGAUAUGCCAAAUAUUGAGCUUAACUUCACCUGUUUGAGAGACGUGUUGUGAACCACUUGUCAUGGGAUAACCAAAAUUAAACCUGGAAUCGCAGAAGAAACAAAUUUUUUGAAGAAAUUGGAUGUACUUUUUUAAAAUUUUUCAUUCAACUAAAACUUUGUUAACUGUUUCUUGGUUGUGGUCUUCUCUAAAUUGUAAUCUUUGGCAUUCACUUCCAAAGUAUCCACCACUAAACUUCAUAACAUUUAUUGUGUCUCUUCAUCAUUAAACUUUGAUGAAUUUACAGAGUGUCUUUUGAAAUUAUGUUCUUGAGAAAGCCAGGGGAUUGGACGGUGUCAUGGAAAUGUCAAAGAAAAAGUGACACCUGAGAGAAAAUUUGAAAGAUGAAAGCAGAUGCACUAAAGAGGCCAAUCAGUCAUCCAGACAAGAAUUUACCUCAUGAGAGUCAACUGUGCGCAUCUCUUCCCAACAUUGUGAUUGGUUAUGUCAUGUUGAUAGCUUGAAAUUGGACAUAGUAUGUACAUUUACACCCCAGAAAUCUCAGGUACUACAAACUAAACCUUCCCUUCUCUCAUUCCCCAGUGCUGUUAAUACGGAAACUGGUCUAAUAUGGAAAACAGGUGAACAUGGAGCUGCUUUGUUUGACUCAGGGAUGAGAGAUACCCAGGUCCUAAUUACUUGUCUUUAACUUUCCUUAGGGAGUACUAAUUUGGGAGUCAUUGUUCUAAACAAUUAAAGUGAAGUAACUGUCCUGUUUUUCUCUUUUACCCUUGUGAACGAGGAAGCUCAGGGUUAAAGUCUAUGUCUUUACUUAUACAUUUCUGUGUUGUAGGAUCUUUUAAUAAAGAUUUUCUCCUUUUA